Molecule: ribosomal RNA, 460 nt
Filed under: uncultured bacterium
Lineage: Bacteria
Description: bacterial SSU rRNA
Rfam family: Bacterial small subunit ribosomal RNA
Source: RNAcentral
UGGAGGCAGCAGUAGGGAAUAUUGGGCAAUGGGCGAAAGCCUAACCCAGCCACGCCGCGUGAGUGAUGAAGGCCUUCGGGUCGUAAAGCUCUGUGGGGAGGGACGAACAAGCAGGCACCAAAUAAGUGCAGGCCCUGACGGUACCUCCUUAGCAAGCACCGGCUAACCAUGUGCCAGCAGCCGCGGUAAUACAUGGGGUGCAAACGUUGCUCGGAAUUAUUGGGCGUAAAGCGCGCGUAGGCGGUCGCUUAAGUCGGAUGUGAAAGCCCUCGGCUUAACUGAGGAAGUGCAUCCGAGACUGAAUGGCUGGAGUACGAAAGAGGGUCGCGGAAUUCCCGGUGUAGAGGUGAAAUUCGUAGAUAUCGGGAGGAACACCGGCGGCGAAGGCGGCGACCUGGUUCGAGACUGACGCUGAGGCGCGAAAGCGUGGGGAGCAAACAGGCUUAGAUACCCUGGUAGC